GAUGAAGAACGUAGCGAAAUGCGAUAAGUAAUGUGAAUUGCAGAAUUCAGUGAAUCAUCGAAUCUUUGAACGCACAUUGCGCCCGCCAGUAUUCUGGCGGGCAUGCCUGUUCGAGCGUCAUUACAACCCUCAGGCCCCCGGGCCUGGCGUUGGGGAUCGGCGGAGCCCCCCGUGGGCACACGCCGUCCCCCAAAUGCAGUGGCGGUCCCGCCGCAGCUUCCAUCGCGUAGUAGCUAACACCUCGCGACUGGAGAGCGGCGCGGCCACGCCGUAAAACACCCAACUCUUCUGAAGUUGACCUCGAAUCAGGUAGGAAUACCCGCUGAACUUAAGCAUAUCAAUAAGCGAAGGA
RNAcentral lists this unclassified non-coding RNA (352 nucleotides) under soil metagenome. Its description in RNAcentral is "partial contains 5.8S ribosomal RNA, internal transcribed spacer 2, and large subunit ribosomal RNA". The stretch from base 1 to 120 matches the Rfam family "5.8S ribosomal RNA", at positions 35 to 154 of the family's 154-position model. The record is from RNAcentral.